This 492-nucleotide ribosomal RNA is filed under the name uncultured bacterium. RNAcentral describes it as "partial 16S ribosomal RNA". It matches the Rfam family "Bacterial small subunit ribosomal RNA", at positions 29 to 507 of the family's 1533-position model. The record is from RNAcentral.
AGUGAACGCUGGCGGUAGGCCUAACACAUGCAAGUCGAACGGCAGCACAGUAAGAGCUUGCUCUUACGGGUUGCGAGUGGCGGACGGGUGAGGAAUACAUCGGAAUCUACUUUUUCGUGGGGGUUAAGGUAGGGAAACUUACGCUAAUACCGCAUACGACCUACGGGUGAAAGCAGGGGAUCUUCGGACCUUGCGCGAUUGAAUGAGCCGAUGUCGGAUUAGCUAGUUGGCGGGGUAAGGGCCCACCAAGGCGACGAUCCGUAGCUGGUCUGAGAGGAUGGUCAGCCACACUGGAACUGAGACACGGUCCAGACUCCUACGGGAGGCAGCAGUGGGGAAUAUUGGACAAUGGGCGCAAGCCUGAUCCAGCCAUACCGCGUGGGUGAAGAAGGCCUUCGGGUUGUAAAGCCCUUUUGUUGGGAAAGAAAAGCAGUAGGUUAAUACCCCGCUGUUCUGACGGUACCCAAAGAAUAAGCACCGGCUAACUUCGUG